GGAGGGGGGGGGGCCUAAUAAUGCAAGUCGAACGCUUUGUGGUUCAACUGAUUUGAAGAGCUUGCUCAGAUAUGACGAUGGACAUUGCAAAGAGUGGCGAACGGGUGAGUAACACGUGGGAAACCUACCUCUUAGCAGGGGAUAACAUUUGGAAACAGAUGCUAAUACCGUAUAACAAUGACAACCGCAUGGUUGUUAUUUAAAAGAUGGUUCUGCUAUCACUAAGAGAUGGUCCCGCGGUGCAUUAGCUAGUUGGUAAGGUAAUGGCUUACCAAGGCGAUGAUGCAUAGCCGAGUUGAGAGACUGAUCGGCCACAAUGGGACUGAGACACGGCCCAUACUCCUACGGGAGGCAGCAGUAGGGAAUCUUCCACAAUGGGCGAAAGCCUGAUGGAGCAACGCCGCGUGUGUGAUGAAGGGUUUCGGCUCGUAAAACACUGUUGUAAGAGAAGAAUGACAUUGAGAGUAACUGUUCAAUGUGUGACGGUAUCUUACCAGAAAGGAACGGCUAAAUACGUGCCAGCAGCCGCGGUAAUACGUAUGUUCCAAGCGUUAUCCGGAUUUAUUGGGCGUAAAGCGAGCGCAGACGGUUAUUUAAGUCUGAAGUGAAAGCCCUCAGCUCAACUGAGGAAUUGCUUUGGAAACUGGAUGACUUGAGUGCAGUAGAGGAAAGUGGAACUCCAUGUGUAGCGGUGAAAUGCGUAGAUAUAUGGAAGAACACCAGUGGCGAAGGCGGCUUUCUGGACUGUAACUGACGUUGAGGCUCGAAAGUGUGGGUAGCAAACAGGAUUAGAUACCCUGGUAGUCCACACCGUAAACGAUGAGUGCUAGGUGUUUGAGGGUUUCCGCCCUUAAGUGCCGCAGCUAACGCAUUAAGCACUCCGCCUGGGGAGUACGACCGCAAGGUUGAAACUCAAAGGAAUUGACGGGGACCCGCACAAGCGGUGGAGCAUGUGGUUUAAUUCGAAGCAACGCGAAGAACCUUACCAGGUCUUGACAUCCCUUGACAACUCCAGAGAUGGAGCGUUCCCUUCGGGGACAAGGUGACAGGUGGUGCAUGGUUGUCGUCAGCUCGUGUCGUGAGAUGUUGGGUUAAGUCCCGCAACGAGCGCAACCCUUAUUACUAGUUGCCAGCAUUCAGUUGGGCACUCUAGUGAGACUGCCGGUGACAAACCGGAGGAAGGUGGGGAUGACGUCAAAUCAUCAUGCCCCUUAUGACCUGGGCUACACACGUGCUACAAUGGCGUAUACAACGAGUUGCCAACCCGCGAGGGUGAGCUAAUCUCUUAAAGUACGUCUCAGUUCGGAUUGUAGGCUGCAACUCGCCUACAUGAAGUCGGAAUCGCUAGUAAUCGCGGAUCAGCACGCCGCGGUGAAUACGUUCCCGGGUCUUGUACACACCGCCCGUCACACCAUGAGAGUUUGUAACACCCAAAGCCGGUGGGGUAACCUUCGGGAGCCAGCCCGUCUAAGGGGGACAAACGUGG
Molecule: ribosomal RNA, 1486 nt
Filed under: Weissella confusa
Lineage: Bacteria; Bacillati; Bacillota; Bacilli; Lactobacillales; Lactobacillaceae
Description: bacterial SSU rRNA
Rfam family: Bacterial small subunit ribosomal RNA
Source: RNAcentral